GUGCCAGCAGCCGCGGUAAUACGGAGGGUGCAAGCGUUGUCCGGAAUCAUUGGGUGUAAAGGGUGUGUAGGCGGGAGCCUAAGUCUGUGGUGAAAUCUUGCCGCUUAACGGUAAAAUUGCCAUGGAUACUGGAUACCUUGAAUCUGACAGAGGUCGGUGGAAUUCGUAGUGUAGCGGUGAAAUGCAUAGAUAUUACGAAGAACAUCAGUGGCGAAGGCGGCCGGCUGGGUCAGUAUUGACGCUGAGGCACGAGAGCGUGGGGAGCGAACAGGAUUAGAAACCCCAGUAGUCC
RNAcentral lists this ribosomal RNA (292 nucleotides) under uncultured bacterium. Its description in RNAcentral is "partial 16S ribosomal RNA". It matches the Rfam family "Bacterial small subunit ribosomal RNA", at positions 505 to 796 of the family's 1533-position model. The record is from RNAcentral.